Molecule: ribosomal RNA, 466 nt
Filed under: Microbispora bryophytorum
Lineage: Bacteria; Bacillati; Actinomycetota; Actinomycetes; Streptosporangiales; Streptosporangiaceae
Description: bacterial SSU rRNA
Rfam family: Bacterial small subunit ribosomal RNA
Source: RNAcentral
CCUACGGGGGGCAGCAGUAGGGAAUAUUUCACAAUGGACGAAAGUCUGAUGAAGCAACGCCGCGUGAAUGAAGAAGGCGUUCGGCUCGUAAAAUUCUGUUAUUAAAGAAGAACGUACUUGAGAGGAUAUGUUCACGUUGUGACGGUAUUUAACCAGAAAGUCACGGCUAACUACGUGCCAGCAGCCGCGGUAAUACGUAGGUCACAAGCGUUAUCCGGAUUUAUUGGGCGUAAAGAGAGUGCAGGCGGUUUCUUAAGUCUGGUGUGAAAGCCUUCGGCUUAACCGGAGAAGUGCAUUGGAAACUAGGAAACUUGAGUACAGCAGAGGAUAGUAGAACUCCAUGUGUAGCGGUGAAAUGCGUAGAUAUUAGGAAGAAUACCAGUGGCGAAGGCGGCUAUCUGGGCUGUAACUGACGCUGAGGCUCGAAAGCAUGGGUAGCGAACAGGAUUAGAUACCCCUGUAGUCC